Cuculus canorus (common cuckoo) is the source of this 339-nucleotide long non-coding RNA. RefSeq lists it as uncharacterized. NCBI's taxonomy places the organism in Eukaryota, Metazoa, Chordata, Aves, Cuculiformes, Cuculidae. The transcript has 3 exons. The record is from RefSeq and is a predicted model, not a curated record.
GCGGUGGCGCCGGGCGGCGGCGGCGGCGGCGAGGCCGGUGGGUGGGGGGGGCGUGCGAGGCUGGACGUGUUCUGGGCGGUGUCGGCGGCUCCGCCGAGGGAACGGGCGAGGUCGGGGCGAGAUGGAGCCGUGAGCGGUGACUGAGGAGAGAGCUGCUGGUAUGGAAGUGAGCUGGGUUUGUCCGUGGGAGCUGUGAGUAAGGUUGCCAUCACGAAAGCCAAAGUGGAUUUCUCCGGUGUGGUGUGCCUGCCCCCUUCCGUCAUUGCUGGAAAUGGGCUGGACGGAGGAGGGGCUGGCGAAAAUGAUGAUGAGCCGGUGCUGGUGUCGCUUUCAGCGGCC